UACAGAGGUCUCAAGCGUUGUUCGGAUUCAUUGGGCGUAAAGGGUGCGUAGGUGGCGCGGUAAGUCGGGUGUGAAUCUCGGAGCUUAACUCCGAAAUUGCAUUCGAUACUGCCGUGCUUGAGGACUGGAGAGGAGACUGGAAUUUACGGUGUAGCAGUGAAAUGCGUAGAGAUCGUAAGGAAGACCAGUGGCGAAGGCGGGUCUCUGGACAAUUCCUGACACUGAGGCACGAAGGCCAGGGAGCAAACGGG
RNAcentral lists this ribosomal RNA (251 nucleotides) under uncultured bacterium. RNAcentral's name for it is "partial 16S ribosomal RNA". It matches the Rfam family "Bacterial small subunit ribosomal RNA", at positions 524 to 776 of the family's 1533-position model. The record is from RNAcentral.